AUCAUAUUGUGCAUGUGGAACAGUGUGGUGUAACCCGCGUCGGUUUUUGUUUUAGGAAAAUAUCCUUGCACUAAAUGCAAGCAUGAGCUGUGAAGAGAGAAACCAGGAUAGUGGCUGUAACAGGAGCACAGAAAAUGUAUUUGCUGCAGAAAAUACACAGCUAACACCAGUGCUUCUACUGAAGAAUGUCUUGAAUUUGCAGAUCUACAUUUUCUUGCAAGCCAGGAUGUAAAGUCUUGGAAAGCAAUUCACAGCAAAUUCAGCCAAGGCCCCAUACUGGCACCAAUGGGAUGAACCAGCUUGAAGAAUUGCAAAAGGCCUUUGUUGCCUUUGAAUUCAACCUCAUGAUUAAAGGGGAAGUGGAAACA
Molecule: long non-coding RNA, 368 nt
Filed under: Phasianus colchicus (ring-necked pheasant)
Lineage: Eukaryota; Metazoa; Chordata; Aves; Galliformes; Phasianidae
Description: lncRNA (ENSPCLG00000003499.1)
Source: RNAcentral